Molecule: long non-coding RNA, 2136 nt
Filed under: Homo sapiens (human)
Lineage: Eukaryota; Metazoa; Chordata; Mammalia; Primates; Hominidae
Description: HSALNT0002081
Source: RNAcentral
CAGGCCAGUGUCGCCAGGGUUGUCUAGGAAGACUAGGCAGGCGCCCAACGCAGUGUUUAACAUGGUGGGGCUGAAAUACCAAACCCUGACAAGGGAAAAAGUCCAUCCAAAAUUAAAAAGAGAAAAUAAGGCAUUUGGGAUGCCGAUGUUAAAAGGAGAAGGUAAUCAGAGAAGAAAAAAGGAAGUCGGUGGAGAGUUCUGCGAAGAUUUUGAAGAUUUCUAGCUGAAGCAAUUUCCUUCUGGAAUCCUCCUGAAGCUUCUCUUCAACCUGAAAUGACGAUGAAAGCGAGUACUUGCUGCUAAUGUGAUCAUAAUGCACUCUGGGGAGAUUCCUCUAGGAUGUCUAAUGGCCGUGGGGGGUCCCAGAGGGGUAGGCACAGCUGCAGCCCAUGUGGCAGGGGUCACAGGCGUGCGCGGGGUGGAGCCAGGCUAGGGGGGCACUGUCCGUUGGGGGAAAGGGCUGGGCUCUGCACCCUGGGCUCAAUAUUUGUCCUACCCCAGGCUCUAAUCCCAGCCCGGUCCCUAGCAAGCUGUAUGACCUCAGCAAAGUCAUUUCACUGCUCUGUGAUUCAGUGUCCUUAUCUGUCAAAUGGGGUGAUACUAGUUCCCUCUUCGCAGAGUUAUUGUGGGGAUUUUAAAAAGUUUGGAAUAGUGACAGCGCUUCGUAAGGGCUCUAUAAGUGUGUUAGAUGUUGUGACCUAGAACAGGUGGAUGACAGUAGCCACUAUACAGAGUCAUCCUAACACCAUAAGGAACUGCCGCCCAUCGUGGGCACUUGGUAAAUGUUAACUGCUGGGUUUAUUAUUGUAACUGUUUAUUGCUACCACUUCUAGCACACUUACCAAGGGAAACUGCUCUGGGAGCUAAGCAAUGGCUAGUAAAGAAUUGUAGCCUGCAAAAGAAGGCGUUUAAAGUGGGGAAACUUGCCCAUUUUCCCCCGCUUGCUCGAGUAAUGGGCAACUCGAGGUGAGCUUGGGCGUGUUCGGUGCUGCCCUCUGCUGGCCAUUACAGGACCCUGCAGCUGCUCAGUUCAUGUCUGAACCAUGAACAUUUUGGGCAUCUGCUGAGCCAGGGCUCAGGCACUUGCAGGAAAUGAGACAAACUCUCCUAGAUGAGAGGAUUUUGUUCUGAAACAGCCUCACAAGUGGUUUAUUAGGGGGCUAGAGAGGGGUCACACAGAUUUCAUGUAAAACACCCAGAGCAACCUGUAAAGCUUUCUUCUGAGUGGCAGGGUGCAGCCAGUCCCCAGUGAGCUGUUUCCCGGGAAGGCCGGCUAAGCUCGCUGGGCCUCAGUUUCCUCACUUACAUCCUCUCAGGUGUAAACAUACCCCAGCUUCUGUUUCGGCGGACGUUUUUCAAAUGCUGCGAAAGCAGAGGCUGUCCUGGGCUCUGUUCUGGCUCCUCCUCUCAAUGACUGGCCUCCCCGCCCCCAGCCCCAGCUCUGGCAGUCCUGUUCUUCAUAUCACUGCCACACAGCAGGCCUUUGGCACCAGCUGUCAGAGAUUUAUUUAUUGAGCUCCUCCUCUGUGCAUGGUGAUAGGGUUUGGCUGUGUGUCCACCCAAAUCUCAACUUCAAUUGUAUCUCCCAGAAUUCCUAAGUGUUGUGGGCGGGACCCAGGGGGAGGUAACUGAAUCAUGGGGGCCGGACUUUCCCGUGCUGUUCUCCUGAUGGUGAAUAAGUCUCACGAAAUUGACGGGUUUAUCAGGGGUUUCCACUUUUGUUUCUUCCUUAUUUUUCCCUUGCCACCGCCAUGUAAGAAGUGCCUUUCGCCUCCCGCCAUGAUUCUGAGGCCUCCCUAGCCAUGUGGAACUGUAAGUCCAAUUAAACCUCUUUUUCUUCCCAGUUUCGGGUGUGUCUUUAACAGCGGUGUGAAAACGGACUAAUACACAUGGUCUGAGGCUAGGCCCUGAGCACCUUUGGCCGUGACGCCUCCUUGCCUCUAAUUUAUUUCCUUCCAGAACAUCCUUCAUGGUCCUGUGAGAGGGUUACCAAGUGGUGGGGCAGCACUGUCUGGUAGAACUUUCUGCAAUGAUGAAGUGCUCUAACUCCAUACUGUCAAAUAGGGUGGACACUGGCCACAUCUGGCUAUUGAGCACUUGAAGUGUGGCUCAUGUGACUGAGGGACUGAAUUUUAC